UACGUAGGGCGCAAGCGUUGUCCGGAAUUAUUGGGCGUAAAGAGCUCGUAGGCGGCUUGUCGCGUCGGAUGUGAAAGCUCGGGGCUUAACCCCGGGUCUGCAUUCGAUACGGGCAGACUAGAGUGCGGUAGGGGAGACUGGAAUUCCUGGUGUAGCGGUGAAAUGCGCAGAUAUCAGGAGGAACACCGGUGGCGAAGGCGGGUCUCUGGGCCGUAACUGACGCUGAGGAGCGAAAGCGUGGGGAGCGAACAGG
This 253-nucleotide ribosomal RNA is filed under the name uncultured bacterium. RNAcentral describes it as "partial 16S ribosomal RNA". It matches the Rfam family "Bacterial small subunit ribosomal RNA", at positions 524 to 776 of the family's 1533-position model. The record is from RNAcentral.